GAUGAACGCUGGCGGCGUGCCUAAUACAUGCAAGUCGAGGGAAAGGACGAGUAUCUUACUACACUGACUUUAGCGGCGGACGGGUGUGUAGCACACGGAUAACCUAUAUCUUAGACUGGGAUAAAUUCGGGGAACCGGCGCUAAUACCGGAUAAUAUAUUGAACAGCAUGGUUACUUAGUGAAAGACGGUCUUGCUGUCACUUAUAGAUGGACCCGCGCUGCAUUAGCUAGUUGGUAAGUUAACGGCUCAACACGCCAACGAUGCGUAGCCGACCUGAUAGGGUGAUCGGCCCCACUGCAACGGAGACACGGUCCAGACUCCUAUGCUACGCGGCAGUGGGGUAUGUUCCAUUAUGGGCUAGAGCCUGACGUGGCAACGCCGCGUGGGUUAUGAAGUGCUUCCGAUCUUAAAUCUCUGCUAUUUGGGAAGAACACGUGUGUAAUUAACUCUUCCCCUCUUGACGGUACCUAAGCAGAAAGCCCCGGCUAACUACGUG
Molecule: ribosomal RNA, 497 nt
Filed under: uncultured bacterium
Lineage: Bacteria
Description: partial 16S ribosomal RNA
Rfam family: Bacterial small subunit ribosomal RNA
Source: RNAcentral